This 381-nucleotide ribosomal RNA is filed under the name uncultured eukaryote. RNAcentral describes it as "partial 18S ribosomal RNA". It matches the Rfam family "Eukaryotic small subunit ribosomal RNA", at positions 592 to 976 of the family's 1831-position model. The record is from RNAcentral.
UGUAAGCGUAUACCAAAGUUGUUGCAGUUAAAACGCUCGUAGUUGGAUUUCUACCGAAGAUAGCCGGUCGGGUCUUCGACCUUGUAUCUGGUUUUGUCUUUGGUAUCCUCAUAGGGAACGUUUCUGCGCUUUAUUGCGUGGUGCGGUAUCUAUGACUUUUACUUUGAGGAAAUUAGAGUGUUCACGGCAGGCAAACGCCUUGAAUAUAUUAGCAUGGAAUAAUAACAUAGGAUCUUCGUCCUAUUUUGUUGGUUUCUAGGGCUAAGAUAAUGAUUAAUAGGGAUAAUUGGGGGCAUCUGUAUCAACGCGUCAGAGGUGGAAUUCUUGGAUUGCGUUGCGACAAACUACUGCGAAAGCAUUUGCCAAGGAUGUUUUCAUUGA